CUUGAUGGAACCCAGCCACAGCGGACGGCCCGCGGGCCGGUCCUGCCCGUACGUCGCCAGCAGCGCCUGCGCCUC
RNAcentral lists this antisense RNA (75 nucleotides) under Streptomyces aizunensis. Its description in RNAcentral is "ASpks TB sRNA". It matches the Rfam family "ASpks TB sRNA". The record is from Rfam by way of RNAcentral. Lineage: Bacteria; Bacillati; Actinomycetota; Actinomycetes; Kitasatosporales; Streptomycetaceae.